UGACCCGUAGUGUAAUUGGCAACACGUCUGAUUUUGGUUCAGAAGACUUCUGGUUCGAGCCCAGACGGGUCAA
RNAcentral lists this transfer RNA (73 nucleotides) under Bacteroidota bacterium. RNAcentral's name for it is "Bacteroidetes bacterium tRNA-Gln". It matches the Rfam family "tRNA". Rfam says of the family: Transfer RNA (tRNA) molecules are approximately 80 nucleotides in length. Their secondary structure includes four short double-helical elements and three loops (D, anti-codon, and T loops). Further hydrogen bonds mediate the characteristic L-shaped molecular structure. tRNAs have two regions of fundamental functional importance: the anti-codon, which is responsible for specific mRNA codon recognition, and the 3' end, to which the tRNAs corresponding amino acid is attached (by aminoacyl-tRNA synthetases). tRNAs cope with the degeneracy of the genetic code in two manners: having more than one tRNA (with a specific anti-codon) for a particular amino acid; and 'wobble' base-pairing, i.e. permitting non-standard base-pairing at the 3rd anti-codon position. Lineage: Bacteria; Pseudomonadati; Bacteroidota. The record is from RNAcentral. RNAcentral also lists the same sequence under 1 other name.